RNAcentral lists this ribosomal RNA (428 nucleotides) under uncultured bacterium. Its description in RNAcentral is "partial 16S ribosomal RNA". It matches the Rfam family "Bacterial small subunit ribosomal RNA", at positions 354 to 796 of the family's 1533-position model. The record is from RNAcentral.
GUGGGGAAUAUUGCACAAUGGGCGAAAGCCUGAUGCAGCAACGCCGCGUGAAGGAAGAAGGGUUUCGGCUCGUAAACUUCUAUCAACAGGGACGAAAAAAAUGACGGUACCUGAAUAAGAAGCCCCGGCUAACUACGUGCCAGCAGCCGCGGUAAUACGUAGGGGGCAAGCGUUAUCCGGAAUUACUGGGUGUAAAGGGAGAGUAGGCGGCAUGGUAAGUUAGAUGUGAAAGCCCGAGGCUUAACCUCGGGAUUGCAUUUAAAACUAUCAAGCUAGAGUACAGGAGAGGUAAGUGGAAUUCCUAGUGUAGCGGUGAAAUGCGUAGAUAUUAGGAAGAACACCAGUGGCGAAGGCGACUUACUGGACUGAAACUGACGCUGAGGCUCGAAAGCGUGGGGAGCGAACAGGAUUAGAAACCCCAGUAGUCC